GUGUGGCCCCAGUCUCCUUAAUGCCACCCUGUUACCCUGUUAAGGACUUUAGGCAAUCAGUUCAUGUUUACUGAAUACCUAUUACCUCCCACCGGCUGACAGCCAUGUAAACUAUAAUGCUGUCAUGCAGAUAUAACACAGGUGAGGGGAUUCUACCUUUGCCUGGGAGAGCUAAUGAUGGCCUUAUGGAGGAAGAGCUAUUUUAGUUGUCUUGAGUGCCAAGUAGCCAGGGAAGAAAAGCCACACAGGAAGCAGAACCAAGCAAAGCAUUUUGCUAGAGGAGACAGGGAUGAGAGAUGGAUACACAAAAAGUUCCUGCCAAAGGGGGAUUUCACAGUGAAUGUGAUGGAAUCCAGAUUUUUUAAAAAAAAUAUUUACUUAUAAACUCUUAGUUGCAGCAUGCAGGAUCUAGUCCCUGAUGCCAUCCAACCUGAGUUCAACAGGGGUUGAACUCAGGCCCCCUGGGUUGGGAGCCAGGAGUCUUAGCCACUGGACCACCAGGGAAGUUCCAGGAAACCAGAGUCUUCCAUGUAUCCUUCCAGGGGGGCUGAGUUUAGUGUGAUGAGACCAAGGUUGAUCAGUUUAAGAAAUCAUCUGGGGUUAGCCUAGUUCUUUGGCUGAAGGAGCCUCUUUUAUUCAGAGUGACUGCAUGAUCAAUCCAAAUGGAAUUUCUGCUUUACCAAAAGCCACACCCAUGGUGCGUGGGAGGGAUGCUGGUGAAAGAGACUUCCUCAUACAAUCUACUGUGCCCUCGUUUUUACCAGAAAGAUUCAUUGCAGGUGUGAGAGAAUGUUGGGAGGACUGAAGACUAAAAUGGGAGGAGAGAUGAAGAUGUGGACAGUUUUAAUUCCUGACGGUUGUUCUCCAUUCUAACUUGUGCCUCUCCAUCGCAAUGCAGGGUGACUGUCUUCCAGAUGAAAAUCUCUCGCACUCAGAGCUGAUAUCUCUUGUCCACAAAGGACCUGUGUGCAUACUUAUGACAGCUGUUAUAUGCAUUUCUGAACUAAUAUAUGCAAAGUACUUGGAAA
Molecule: long non-coding RNA, 1028 nt
Organism: Bubalus bubalis (water buffalo)
Lineage: Eukaryota; Metazoa; Chordata; Mammalia; Artiodactyla; Bovidae
Exons: 2
Source: RefSeq, a predicted model, not a curated record